CUCUCGACCCAGCUUACACCUACCCACUCUAUUACUUCUUCUAUAGACCCCGAGCUCCACCUACCCAGUCUAUUCCUUCCUCCUCCCGACCCCGAGCUCCACCUACCCACUCUAUUACUUCUUCCUCUCGACCCCAGGCUACACCUACCCACUCUAUUACUUCCUCCUCCCGACCCCGGGCUCCACCUACCCAGUCUAUUACUUCUUCCUCUCGACCCCGGGCUCCACCUACCCAGUCUAUUACUUCUUCCUCUCGACCCCGGGCUCCACCUACCCAGUCUAUUACUUCUUCCUCUCGACCCCAGGCUCCACCUACCCACUCCAUUCCUACCUCCUCCCGACCCCAGGCUCCACCUACCCACUCCAUUCCUACCUCCUCCCAACCCCAGGCUCCACCUACGCACUCUAUUACUUCUUCCUCUGGACCCCAGGCUCCACCUACCCACUCCAUUCCUUCCUCCUCUCAACCCUGGGCUUCCUCUAUCUACACUAUUCCUUUCUCCUGUCAUUGUUCAAUCCUGUUUCCUCUUAUGCGUAACUCUUUUCGUCCACAGAACACCAGAUUCAGCCAGCUUCGGCCACCUCUCUCAACUCAGAAACCUAUCUCUUUCCCUCCUAUUCAUAGUGCUGUCCCUCCCUGCCGUCCUAACCUACAGGUUUCCCCACCCAAAUCUGGCUCUAUUCCUUCCAAAACGUCCAGCCCCCGCUCUUUUUUUCUCGCUCCUGUUCCCCGUUAUUCCAAUUCCUUCAUUGCUCCUACUCCCCCUUCCAGCCAUUCAGAGACUUGAGAGUCUUAUCCUCCCCAACAUUUCCAGCCAACUCCAACCAGACCUCCGUGAUUCACAAAUCCUAUCCUGGAGAGAUGAUUUCCCUGUGAGUGGGACGGUUCUGCUAUCAUCCAGAAUUGCCAGAACAAUCGAUCCCCAGGAGCUUGACUUGGUGAAUGUUGGGAACUCAAGACAAUGCCAAUCAACAUUUAGCUUGGAGGCCGGCCUGAAUGAAUUCUACCUUUAUAACUGGUUUCUCCAUGGAAUUUGGUCUGUGGCCACAGAGCAAACAGCAAGACGAGGGACACAAGGUAGAGAAGAGUGAGUGGAAAUCAUGUCAUCUGAUCUCUACACGGGAAACGUGAGAAGCUGAUGAUACUUUGCAAGGACAGGCAAAAGAGCCAAGAAUACCCAUGACUCCUUUAAGAACUG
This 1199-nucleotide long non-coding RNA is filed under the name Canis lupus familiaris (dog). RNAcentral describes it as "lncRNA (ENSCAFG00030014202.1)". Lineage: Eukaryota; Metazoa; Chordata; Mammalia; Carnivora; Canidae. The record is from RNAcentral.